GAAGAAACGUUUUCUGCAUCCAGGAUUAGCCUAAAUCCUUUGGGAUAAGGUAUCAUGGAGGGUGAGAAUCCCGUUCAUGGUUAAUCUUAAGGACGCUCUACGAUACGUUCUCCAAGAGUCGAGUUGUUUGGGAUUGCAGCUCAAAAUGGGAGGUAAAUUUCUCCUAAGGCUAAAUAUUGGCGAGAGACCGAUAGCGAACAAGUACCGUGAGGGAAAGAUGA
This 221-nucleotide ribosomal RNA is filed under the name uncultured Glomus. RNAcentral's name for it is "partial 28S large subunit ribosomal RNA". It matches the Rfam family "Eukaryotic large subunit ribosomal RNA", at positions 151 to 367 of the family's 3401-position model. The record is from RNAcentral. Lineage: Eukaryota; Fungi; Glomeromycota; Glomeromycetes; Glomerales; Glomeraceae.